GAUGAACGCUGGCGGCGUGCCUAACACAUGCAAGUCGAACGAAGCACCUUACCUGAUUCUUCGGAUGAAAGUUUGGUGACUGAGUGGCGGACGGGUGAGUAACGCGUGGGUAACCUGCCCUGUACAGGGGGAUAACAGCUGGAAACGGCUGCUAAUACCGCAUAAGCGCACGAGGAGACAUCUCCUUGUGUGAAAAACUCCGGUGGUACAGGAUGGGCCCGCGUCUGAUCAGCUGGUUGGCAGGGUAACGGCCUACCAAGGCAACGAUCAGUAGCCGGUCUGAGAGGAUGAACGGCCACAUUGGAACUGAGACACGGUCCAAACUCCUACGGGAGGCAGCAGUGGGGAAUAUUGCACAAUGGGGGAAACCCUGAUGCAGCAACGCCGCGUGAGUGAAGAAGUAUUUCGGUAUGUAAAGCUCUAUCAGCAGGGAAGAUAAUGACGGUACCUGACUAAGAAGCUCCGGCUAAAUACGUG
This 477-nucleotide ribosomal RNA is filed under the name uncultured bacterium. RNAcentral describes it as "partial 16S ribosomal RNA". It matches the Rfam family "Bacterial small subunit ribosomal RNA", at positions 28 to 507 of the family's 1533-position model. The record is from RNAcentral.